This 463-nucleotide ribosomal RNA is filed under the name uncultured bacterium. Its description in RNAcentral is "bacterial SSU rRNA". It matches the Rfam family "Bacterial small subunit ribosomal RNA", at positions 331 to 795 of the family's 1533-position model. The record is from RNAcentral.
CCAGACUCCUACGGGAGGCAGCAGUGGGGGAUAUUGCACAAUGGGGGAAACCCUGAUGCAGCGACGCCGCGUGGGUGAAGGAGCACCUCGGUGCGUAAAGCCCUAUCGGCAGGGAAGAAAAGCGAACAGGUUCGCCUGGACGGUACCUGACUAAGAAGCCCCGGCCAACUACGUGCCAGCAGCCGCGGUAAUACGUAGGGGGGAAGCGUUGUCCGGAUUUACUGGGUGUAAAGGGCGUGUAGCCGGGCUGACAAGUCAGAUGUGAAAUCCGGGGGCUCAACCCCCGAACUGCAUUUGAAACUGUUGGUCUUGAGUAUCGGAGAGGCAGGCGGAAUUCCUAGUGUAGCGGUGAAAUGCGUAGAUAUCAGGAGGAACACCAGUGGCGAAGGCGGCUUACUGGACAGUAACUGACGUUGAGGCUCGAAAGCGUGGGGAGCAAACAGGAUUAGAUACCCCAGUAGAU